AGCUAUGCAGGCCUCUCAAAUGUUUGCCAAGAAGUAGUAAAGAUUAAUUUACUAUCAGAAUACUCUUACAAUAUUAGAGUACACGGCCAUAGAAAACGGCCACAUCAACCAAUGUACCCAUGCCAUCGCUGCCGCUAUCAGCUCUACAUAUAGGAUUCUCCCCCUCUUUCUGGUGGAGAAAUGAUCUUUGCUAGGUCGAUCCAAAACCAUAAUAGUCUCGAUUCCAAAAAAAACCGGGAUUAAAAAUGAUCUUUAGUCCCGGUUAAAGAUCCUACUAAAAAUGUCAGAUGUAUGUCGGGGGCCGAGGAUCUUUAGUCCUGGUUGGUGUCACGCCAACUGGGACUAAAGAUCACCACUUUAGUCUUGGUUGGUAAUACCAACCGGGACUAAAGAUCAUCUAGACUCUCGGUUGGUAUUACCAACCAGAACUAAAAUUAAACGCGUAAUAUAUAAUCCCUAUCACUUAUCCUCUCCUCUACAAUCGCAACUCACACAGAUCAAAUCUCUCCCCCUCUUCCCUUUCCUCCUCCUCUCCUCUCCUACAGUCUAUCCUCUCUUCCUCAUCCCCUCUCCUCCACCUCCUGCCCUUCCUCCUCUCCUCCCCCUCCUCCCCUUCCCAUCCGGCGGGCCGGCGGCCGUGGCGAGCAGUGGCAGCGGCUUUGUUUGUCUUUUUUUAUAUAAUCUGUGAUUCACUAAGAUGUUUAAAUUUGUGAUUCAAUGCAUGGAUCUGAGAUGUAUAAUCUGUAAUGUAUUUGAUUUGUGUGUAAUUUUUUAGGAUUUGUGAUGUAUUUGAUUUUUGUGUAUAAGUAACUUUAAGAUUUAUGAUGUAGAUUUGGGAUGUUACAUUGAUUUGGGGAUUUAGGGUUUGAUUUGAUUUGGGGAUUUGGGGUAUGAUUUAGGGAUAUGCAUGCCACUUGAUUCGGGAGAAAAUAAAAAAAGAAAAAAAAGAAAAGGGGAUC
Molecule: small RNA, 959 nt
Filed under: Oryza sativa Japonica Group (Japanese rice)
Lineage: Eukaryota; Viridiplantae; Streptophyta; Magnoliopsida; Poales; Poaceae
Description: sRNA Os09g0343600
Source: RNAcentral